CUGUCAUCCUGAGCAGAGCGAAGGACCUCUCCCGCUUCGUUGGAUUGCCAUUGCAACGAAGCGGGAGAGGUCCUUCGCUCUGCUCAGGAUGACAG
RNAcentral lists this unclassified non-coding RNA (95 nucleotides) under Hymenobacter daecheongensis DSM 21074. Its description in RNAcentral is "Flavo-1 RNA". Lineage: Bacteria; Pseudomonadati; Bacteroidota; Cytophagia; Cytophagales; Hymenobacteraceae. The record is from RNAcentral.